RNAcentral lists this non-coding RNA (27 nucleotides) under Homo sapiens (human). The record is from RNAcentral. Lineage: Eukaryota; Metazoa; Chordata; Mammalia; Primates; Hominidae.
UGUUGUGGAUGCUUAAAGCAAGGUUUC